Molecule: ribosomal RNA, 162 nt
Filed under: uncultured bacterium
Lineage: Bacteria
Description: partial 16S ribosomal RNA
Rfam family: Bacterial small subunit ribosomal RNA
Source: RNAcentral
UGGGGAAUAUUGGACAAUGGGCGAAAGCCUGAUCCAGCCAUGCCGCGUGUGUGAAGAAGGUCUUCGGAUUGUAAAGCACUUUAAGUUGGGAGGAAGGGCAGUAAGUUAAUACCUUGCUGUUUUGACGUUACCAACAGAAUAAGCACCGGCUAACUUCGUGCC